RNA transcript from Nelumbo nucifera (sacred lotus), 2105 nucleotides. It is a transcript of the gene named glutathione reductase, chloroplastic-like, with no coding region annotated. The record is from RefSeq and is a predicted model, not a curated record. NCBI's taxonomy places the organism in Eukaryota, Viridiplantae, Streptophyta, Magnoliopsida, Proteales, Nelumbonaceae.
UCAUCCAUCAAUAUCCAAGUUCCAGAAGACAGAAGAGGGACGGAUUUUUGUUCAAGUGCAUUCCAUUGAGACAGAAGACAGAAGACGAUGGCCUCGUCGAUUGGGGCACCGAAGGUCACCUUUUCUUCUUCAACCCUUCAACACCUCUGCAAAAAAUUCCCUCCUCCUAUCUCACCGAGAUAUCUGUCACCGAAUUCCUCGCCGUGCUUUCACUUCAGGGGCAUAAAGUCUCCCUCUGGUGGCUGUCGUUUCUUCAUCCCGUAUCGGUGCUUCACAGUCCGAGCGGAGUCCGAAAACGGUGCGGAGCCUCGACACUACGAUUUUGACCUUUUCACGGUAGGUGCUGGGAGCGGUGGUGUGCGGGCUUCGCGUUUCGCUGCAAGUUAUGGUUCCUCCGUUGCUAUCUGUGAGCUUCCCUUUGCUACAAUCUCUAGCGAUAACGCUGGUGGUGUCGGUGGAACAUGUGUACUUCGAGGAUGUGUUCCAAAGAAAUUACUUGUUUAUGCGUCCAAGUACUCUCAUGAUUUUGAAGAGAGCUGUAACUUUGGGUGGAAAUAUGAGAUUGACCCUGUACAUGAUUGGAGAACCUUGAUUGCUAACAAGAAUGCUGAGUUGCAGCGCCUUACUGGAAUCUACAAGAAUGUUCUGAAAAAUGCAGGCGUGACAUUAAUUGAAGGUCGUGGAAAGGUUGUAGACCCGCACACUGUAGACGUAGAUGGGAAACUCUAUUCUGCGAGACACAUACUGAUAGCUGUUGGUGGACGACCCUUCAUUCCUGAUAUUCCUGGAAGUGAGUAUGCCAUAGAUUCUGACAUGGCCCUUGAUUUACCAUCAAAGCCUGAGAAGAUUGCAAUAGUUGGGGGUGGAUAUAUUGCUUUGGAGUUUGCUGGCAUUUUCAAUGGCUUGAAAAGUGAAGUGCACGUUUUUAUCCGACAGAAGAAAGUUUUAAGAGGCUUUGAUGAAGAGAUCAGAGAUUUUGUUGCUGAACAGAUGUCUGUAAGAGGAAUUGAAUUCCAUACUGAGGAAUCCCCCCAGGCAAUCCUUAAAUCACCAGAUGGUUCACUUUCUUUGAAGACUAACAAAGGAACUAUUGAUGGCUUCUCACAUAUCAUGUUUGCAACAGGACGAAGGCCAAACACAAAGAACUUGGGACUGGAGACAGUUGGGGUGAAAAUGGCUGACAAUGGAGCUAUAGAGGUUGAUGAAUACUCCCAGACAUCAGUUCCUUCAAUUUGGGCUGUGGGUGAUGCUACUGAUAGAAUAAAUUUAACUCCAGUUGCAUUGAUGGAGGGUGGAGCAUUUGCAAAAACUGUCUUUUGCAAUGAACCCACAAAACCAAAUUACAGAGCUGUGCCAUCUGCUGUAUUUUCCCAGCCACCUAUUGGACAAGUUGGCCUUACUGAAGAACAGGCUAUCCAAGAAUAUGGUGAUAUUGAUGUCUUCACAGCCAACUUCAGGCCACUGAAGUCUACUGUGUCUGGGCUUCCAGACCGGACCUUCAUGAAACUUGUGGUCUGUGCAAAGACAAAAAAAGUUCUAGGGUUGCACAUGUGUGGGGAAGAUGCACCAGAAAUUGUGCAGGGGUUUGCAGUUGCUAUAAAAGCUGGAUUGACCAAGGCAGACUUCGAUGCCACAAUUGGUAUUCACCCCACUGCUUCUGAGGAGUUUGUUACAAUGAGGACUCCAACUAGGAGGAUCCAGAAGGACCCUCCAUCAGAGGUUUGUUAGGGGAAAGGCUGCUGCUGAGGUCAAAGCUGAGGCAAAGGUUUAGCAUUUAAUCUUUACCAGGGCAUCAUCCUGGAAAUUCCUAGAUAAACUCCAGCAGAAGAUUGGAUUUGCACUUUAAUGUCAUCCUGUACAGGAAGGGAGCAGUCUAAGUAUAAGAGGAGUGACGAGGUGCAAGUUUUGCUGCAGACUGAAACUCCACCUUCUAUGUUUAUUGCAGAGUAAUUCCUACUUAUUAGUUCUGCCUUGCCAUUUCUCAACAAGUUGCUGCUUUUGAUGAUGUCACAUGAAAGAGCAAAUUAAAAUACUGUAAGGAAAACUGCUCAGAUAUAAGGCGAUCAAUUGAAACUUGAAAGUAAUUUACAAAUCUUUAUUUCCAA